RNAcentral lists this long non-coding RNA (2650 nucleotides) under Populus tremula. Its description in RNAcentral is "long non-coding RNA (PTRE_LNC002009)". Lineage: Eukaryota; Viridiplantae; Streptophyta; Magnoliopsida; Malpighiales; Salicaceae. The record is from RNAcentral.
UCCAUUCCAUGAUAAUGUUCAAUGUGUUUGCUUUGUCUAUCUUCAUGCCAGAUUUCAAUGUUUAAUUCAAAAAUCAUAUGAAGUUGGUCAUGAUCAUGGUCAUAUUCACUGUACAAAGAACAAUUUCUGAUUUCAUAGUAAUGAUUGGUGAUGUUCCAGCGUGUAUCUUUAGGAAAUAGUUUGAGAAUUUAUAAAAUUAGAUUGGGUUCAAAGUUGUUAUAACAUAAACAACAUUUUAAGUUACAGUUGGUGGGGAAGGAGAUUGAUUAUGAUCUGUAUUGCACCUAAGAAAACGUCAGGAACUGCUGUUCCUACAAUGAAUAACAGAAAUUGCAAUGUUCUGGGCUAGCAGAUUUCUUUCUUCUUAAAUUUUGCCCUUAGUGCUUCACUCUAUUGGAUCAGUUGGUCACCUCUAAUAACUUGCUGCAUUGGGAUACUAAACUUGCUGAAAUGACAUAAACCAUGCUUUCAAACUCUACUUUGAUUAUUUUUUCCAGUGGAGAUGAUUGCAAGCAAAAUCUGUGAUUCAUGGUGCGCUAGGAUAUCCAAUCCUUUUUUUUUUCUAAGAGUCAUAUGAAGAAAAUGCGCAAUUAAGUGCACAAUGCUUUAUGCAGCAUUUGAAAGCUAAGAUUUGAUGCUUCUAUAUGUGCAAUCCAUUAUAUUUACCACAUGUUCAUCCUAUUUUACAUCAGCAAGUUUGUCCUUUCCUCACUCUUCUUCUUCUUCGCAUAGGACUCGGUUCCUAUAGAUAAAGAGCAUACAUGAAACAUGCCUUUGGUAAAGAUACUAAAAUAUAUGUAUAAAGUCAUGUUAAUCACAUGAUGAUGACAGGCUUGGCUUGCGCAAAAUUAACCACAUGUUUUGAACAAAAUUUUCAUUUUGUUAGUUUUAAAUGAAUACUUUAGUUGUUUGCUACUUUGAAUAGUCAGAAUACAUUUUUUUUCCUUGCCUGGUUAAUAGCUCCUAUCAGGGUUAUCAAUGCAUUCAUAAAGGCUAAUCAUUGUGUUUUUUUUUUAUAUUCCAUUUAUUUUAUACAUCUAUUCUUGAGAUGUUUGUGCCAAUAUUUUACUCUACAAAUUAUUGUUAUCAUUCAAUUUCUCAACAAAUUGUCCCCUGUAACUCAUUCGAUCAAUUAAAAACAUCUCUCUUAUGUUCACAUCUAUACAUCAUGCUAUAUUUCUCAUAUUUUCUUGCUUAAAGCUACCUAUAUAUAUGUGUGUGUGUCCCACACUUUUCUUUACAGCUUAUUAUAUUAGAGGACUUUAUGACUUCUGACAUAAUUUCUCUAAUUUUUUUUUUAUAGAACUUCAAAAUAAAAUUUUCCAUUGUUAUUAAGUUUUUUCACCUUUUAUCGGUAUACAACAAUUGUAAAAAGAAAAACAAAGAAUAAACAAUGAAAAAAACAGUUUAAUUAUUCUUAUAAUGACACGAUACAAUCAAUGACCCACAGGUUCUUCUCUCAUUAUAUUUUAUGCAAAUUAACAUUAACAUUAAUUAACAAUUAACAAAGAAACUAAAUCAUUUUUUUUGCUUCUGCAUUAUUAAGUAAAUUAGUGGGCCAGUACGCAUUAAAUAUUUUCUAUUUGCUGGCAGCAUACCCUUUGUUUUCUUUUGAAUCUGCAUUGUUAAUUAAAUUAGUGGGUCAAUAUGCAUUAAAUGCAUCCUAUUUGCUGCAGUAUUAAUUAAAUAGGUGGGCCAGUACGCAUUAAAUAUUUUCUAUUUGCUGGCAGCAUACCCUUUGUUUUCUUUUGAAUCUGCAUUGUUAAUUAAAAGUAGUGGGUCAAUAUGCAUUAAAUGCAUCCUAUUUGCUGCAGCAUUAAUUAAAUUAGUGGGCCAGUACGCAUUAAAUAUUUUCUAUUUGCUGGCAGCAUACCCUUUAGUUUCUUUUGAAUCUGCAUUGUUAAUUAAAUGAGUGGGUCAAUAUGCAUUAAAUGCAUCCUAUUUGCUGCAGCAAAUACGCUGCAUAGCAACCAUGCUCAAGGGAGGAUCUCUAGACGUUCUGAUACUACUAUACUAGCCCGACGGCGGGCACUAUCAUCAUGACAUAUAUAUGGUCUCUGUUGUUAAAAUUAUUUUUUUUCAUUGAAGUGCAUCUAAAAAUAUAUUAUAUGCUUUGUCUAUAUCCGGUCUCUGUAUUUCUUUGCCCACCAGUUAUUGCACUCUCUUUUCAUCUUUCUCCAUUGCCUCUCUUGCUGGUUGUUGCACCAUCAGUUUAGUUUUUUUCCCUCUUUUCAUUGCCUCUCUUACUAUUUUUUUUUAGUUUGUUUUUUUAUGCAUCCAUAAUUAAUCUGUGUGGUUCCUUUGUUUUCAGCAGAUUUGUUGAGCUUUUCUAGCCUUCUUUUCGGUUGGGUUGCUGCUUUGUUCACGUUAACGCUUGCUUGCCUUACGCUGCUGGUAUGUGCAUGUAUUAUUGGUCUGCAAGAUUAAUGGUUGUCUUCUUCUUGCUAUGUUGAACUGUGAGACCAGCUUCUCUUUUUUUUUUUUCCAUUUGUUUUUUAACCAACCAGCAAGGGUGUUGCUUGCUAAGAAAUUGUAUUCAAAUUCGUUUCUGCUGUAUUUUCUUCCCUUUUGAUGGUUGUUGAAUUUGUGCUUUAGAUUCCCAUCUUUAUUUAUUUAGCCAAUUCAUGUUGCAAUUUAUAUUUGUUCUUUU